UACGGAGGGGGCUAGCGUUGUUCGGAAUUACUGGGCGUAAAGCGCACGUAGGCGGCUUUGUAAGUUAGAGGUGAAAGCCCGGGGCUCAACUCCGGAAUUGCCUUUAAGACUGCAUCGCUAGAAUUGUGGAGAGGUAAGUGGAAUUCCGAGUGUAGAGGUGAAAUUCGUAGAUAUUCGCAAGAACACCAGUGGCGAAGGCGGCUCACUGGCCCGGUACUGACGCUGAGGCGCGAAAGCGUGGGGAGCAAACAGG
RNAcentral lists this ribosomal RNA (253 nucleotides) under uncultured bacterium. RNAcentral describes it as "partial 16S ribosomal RNA". It matches the Rfam family "Bacterial small subunit ribosomal RNA", at positions 524 to 776 of the family's 1533-position model. The record is from RNAcentral.